Small nucleolar RNA from Astyanax mexicanus (Mexican tetra), 92 nucleotides. NCBI's taxonomy places the organism in Eukaryota, Metazoa, Chordata, Actinopteri, Characiformes, Acestrorhamphidae. The record is from Ensembl.
UACUGUGGCAGUGAUGACUUAACUUUUUUCCCCGACAGAUCGACUCUGUUGAGUUUUGUAGAAAAUUAAGCCAAACUGUCUGAGCCAUGGUU